This 465-nucleotide ribosomal RNA is filed under the name Vreelandella stevensii. RNAcentral describes it as "partial 16S ribosomal RNA". It matches the Rfam family "Bacterial small subunit ribosomal RNA", at positions 338 to 795 of the family's 1533-position model. Lineage: Bacteria; Pseudomonadati; Pseudomonadota; Gammaproteobacteria; Oceanospirillales; Halomonadaceae. The record is from RNAcentral.
CCUACGGGGGGCAGCAGUGGGGAAUAUUGGACAAUGGGGGGAACCCUGAUCCAGCCAUGCCGCGUGUGUGAAGAAGGCCCUCGGGUUGUAAAGCACUUUCAGUGAGGAAGAACGCCUGGUGGUUAAUACCCAUCAGGAAAGACAUCACUCACAGAAGAAGCACCGGCUAACUCCGUGCCAGUAGCCGCGGUAAUGCGGAGGGUGCGAGCGUUAAUCGGAAUUACUGGGCGUAAAGCGCGCGUAGGUGGCUUGAUAAGCCGGUUGUGAAAGCCCCGGGCUCAACCUGGGAACGGCAUCCGGAACUGUCAAGCUAGAGUGCAGGAGAGGAAGGUAGAAUUCCCGGUGUAGCGGUGAAAUGCGUAGAGAUCGGGAGGAAUACCAGUGGCGAAGGCGGCCUUCUGGACUGACACUGACACUGAGGUGCGAAAGCGUGGGUAGCAAACAGGAUUAGAUACCCGGGUAGUC